UCUGAAAAUGCUUAUAUUUUAAAGCAAUUUCCCUCCAAUUCCAUAUGGGAAGGAUUUUAUUGGAGGAAGAUUUAACAAUGUAAACGUGGAUGACUUACAGAGUGAAAGUGCAUAAGCAACACUGAUUGAAAAAAGGACUUUGUAUGCGUGCAGCCUGCUACAGCAAAUGCAUUGAAAUUGUUUCUGAAUUGAACAUCAAAUUGGUUUCCGUAGUUGGCUUCAUUGCUGAUAAGAUUUGGUGCCUUUCAACUUUCCUUCUUGUGUAUAUUUCUACAUUUGUAAACCAUUGUAUUGUUGAGUUGACCUUUGCUGCCUGUUACCUUU
Prunus avium (sweet cherry) is the source of this 324-nucleotide non-coding RNA. Lineage: Eukaryota; Viridiplantae; Streptophyta; Magnoliopsida; Rosales; Rosaceae. The record is from RefSeq and is a predicted model, not a curated record.